AGGACAAACGGGGUCAAGACCUUCGGGUUUUGAUUCAGCGGCGGACGGCUGAGUAGCACGUGGCUGACCUAUCCGACAGUGGGGGAUAGCCCGGGGAAACGCGGGGUAAGCCCGCAUGUGCUUGGUGGUGUAGAGGCCAUCAAGGAAAAGCCUGUAAGGGUUGCUGACGGAGGGGGCCGCGGCCCAUCAGGUAGUUGGUGUAGUGAAGGUGCACCAAGCCGAUGACGGGUGGCCGGUCUGAGAGGACGGACGGCCAGACUGGGACUGCGACACGGCCCAGACACCUACGGGUGGCAGCAGCUAGGGAUCUUGCCCAAUGGCCGAAAGGCUGAGGCAGCGACGCCGCGUGCGGGAAGACGGCCCUCGGGUUGUAAACCGCUUUUCUGCGAGACGAGGAUGGACGGUAUCGCAGGAAGAAGCACCGGCUAACUCCGUGCCAGCAGCCGCGGUAAGACGGAGGGUGCGAGCGUUGUCCGGAUUUACUGGGCGUAAAGGGCGCGUAGGCGGCUUGGACAGUCGGUUGUGAAAGGCGAGGGCUUCACUCUCGUUAGGCAAGCGAGACGUACGAGCUGGAGGGUGGUCGAGGGAGACAGAAUGCCGGGUGUAGUGGUGAAAUGCGUAGAGAUCCGGCGGAAUACCAGUGGCGAAGGCGGUCUUCUAGGCCAUUACAGACGCUGAGGCGCGAGAGCGUGGGGAGCGAACCGGAUUAGAUACCCGGGUAGUCCACGCCGUAAACGGUGCGCACCAGGUGUGGGGGGUAUCGACCCCUCCCACGCCGGAGUUAACGCAAUGAGUGCCUCGCCUGGGGAGUACGGCCGCAAGGCUAAAACUCAAAUGAAUUGACGGGG
Molecule: ribosomal RNA, 848 nt
Filed under: uncultured bacterium
Lineage: Bacteria
Description: bacterial SSU rRNA
Rfam family: Bacterial small subunit ribosomal RNA
Source: RNAcentral